UCCCUAUGGGGUGCAGCAGGCGCGAAAACUUUACAAUGCCGGCAACGGCGAUAAGGGGACCUCGAGUGCCAGGUUACAAAUCUGGCUGUCGUGAUGCCUAAAAAGCAUUGCAUAGCAAGGGCCGGGCAAGACCGGUGCCAGCCGCCGCGGUAACACCGGCGGCUCGAGUGGUAACCGUUAUUAUUGGGUCUAAAGGGUCUGUAGCCGGCCGGAUAAGUCCCUUGGGAAAUCCAGCAGCUCAACUGUUGGGCUUUCAGGAGAUACUGUCUGGCUCGAGGCCGGGAGAGGUGAGAGGUACUUCAGGGGUAGGGGUGAAAUCUUGUAAUCCUUGAAGGACCACCAGUGGCGAAGGCGUCUCACCAGAACGGACCUGACGGCAAGGGACGAAAGCUAGGGGCACGAACCGGAUUAGAUACCCGGGUAGUCCUAGCCGUAAACGAUACUCGCUAGGUGUCGGCCACGGUGCGACCGUUGUCGGUGCCGUAGGGAAGCCGUGAAGCGAGCCACCUGGGAAGUACGGCCGCAAGGCUGAAACUUAAAGGAAUUGGCGGGGGAGCACCACAACGGGUGGAGCUUGCGGUUUAAUUGGAUUCAACGCCGGAAAUCUUACCGGGACCGACAGCAAUAUGAAGGCCAGGCUGAAGACUUUGCCGGAUUAGCUGAGAAGUGGUGCAUGGCCA
RNAcentral lists this ribosomal RNA (680 nucleotides) under uncultured archaeon. Its description in RNAcentral is "bacterial SSU rRNA". It matches the Rfam family "Archaeal small subunit ribosomal RNA", at positions 319 to 1000 of the family's 1478-position model. The record is from RNAcentral.